This 63-nucleotide transfer RNA is filed under the name Xenoturbella hollandorum. RNAcentral describes it as "tRNA-Arg". It matches the Rfam family "tRNA". From Rfam's summary of the family: Transfer RNA (tRNA) molecules are approximately 80 nucleotides in length. Their secondary structure includes four short double-helical elements and three loops (D, anti-codon, and T loops). The record is from RNAcentral. Lineage: Eukaryota; Metazoa; Xenacoelomorpha; Xenoturbellidae.
ACUAGUGUAGUUUACUAAAACACUUGAUUUCGACUCAAGAAACCUGAACAAAUCAGCAAUAGU